This 430-nucleotide long non-coding RNA is filed under the name Ricinus communis (castor bean). RNAcentral describes it as "long non-coding RNA (RCOM_LNC000433)". The record is from RNAcentral. Lineage: Eukaryota; Viridiplantae; Streptophyta; Magnoliopsida; Malpighiales; Euphorbiaceae.
UAUUGAGUAGGAACUGUUGUCUGAUUACUUGAUAAUUUCUUGGUUGACUGAGUUGAUAUUAGUUAUGUUUUUGGCUUGUUGUGAAGUGAAUUGAUUGUGAUGUGUUGUGAAGUGAAUUGAUUGUGAUUAAGGAUUGAUGACUCUUGUAUGGAUAUUGUGUGAUCGGAAAAGCUGAGCCGGUCGGAUAGCUACCCGAGUAUGUGAGAUGGCAAGACUGAGCCGGGCGGAUAGUCUUGUCAAGUGUUUACUGAAAUUUGAAAAUGUGAGGAAAUGUAAGGAUGAGUCAUCUGAUCCUAAUUUGAUAGAAAUAAUAUGGAAUUGAAUUAUUUGACUUGGUUGAGUUUGAGAUUAUUUGCAUUAUGUGAGAUGAAAUUAUUUUUUAUGAGAAUAAUUGAAAUGGUUGAUUUUGUGAUUGUUAGUUAAGUGUUGG